CACCGCAAAACAAGGCUGUUGGAGCCACUUAGACAAUACUGUAUAGUGAAGAAAGAUGUGUGUUAACCCUUGACUUAAACAGUUGUAGAUUGUAUCCCAUGGGAAAGCAGGUCCGUGGAAGCUCAUUCCAUAGCGAAGUUGUUCUUGGAAAAAAGCUCUGAGCGUGGAACUUCCUCCUAGAAGGAGGAUUGUGGAGGAAAAAAGGAUGAUUUGCUUCCAUGGAAGUGGCUAAACGGGUUCUUGCAGUGAAGGUUCGUAUUGGAGGCACAGAUGAGUGAAGUUCUGCCGAGCAUUUA
Long non-coding RNA from Branchiostoma floridae (Florida lancelet), 296 nucleotides. RefSeq lists it as uncharacterized. The record is from RefSeq and is a predicted model, not a curated record. Lineage: Eukaryota; Metazoa; Chordata; Leptocardii; Amphioxiformes; Branchiostomatidae. The transcript has 3 exons.